This 637-nucleotide ribosomal RNA is filed under the name uncultured bacterium. RNAcentral describes it as "bacterial SSU rRNA". It matches the Rfam family "Bacterial small subunit ribosomal RNA", at positions 607 to 1244 of the family's 1533-position model. The record is from RNAcentral.
GCUCAACCGGGGAGGGUCAUUGGAAACUGGGGAACUUGAGUGCAGAAGAGGAGAGUGGAAUUCCACGUGUAGCGGUGAAAUGCGUAGAGAUGUGGAGGAACACCAGUGGCGAAGGCGACUCUCUGGUCUGUAACUGACGCUGAGGCGCGAAAGCGUGGGGAGCGAACAGGAUUAGAUACCCUGGUAGUCCACGCCGUAAACGAUGAGUGCUAAGUGUUAGAGGGUUUCCGCCCUUUAGUGCUGCAGCAAACGCAUUAAGCACUCCGCCUGGGGAGUACGGUCGCAAGACUGAAACUCAAAGGAAUUGACGGGGGCCCGCACAAGCGGUGGAGCAUGUGGUUUAAUUCGAAGCAACGCGAAGAACCUUACCAGGUCUUGACAUCCUCUGACAACCCUAGAGAUAGGGCUUCCCCUUCGGGGGCAGAGUGACAGGUGGUGCAUGGUUGUCGUCAGCUCAUGUCGUGAGAUGUUGGGUUAAGUCCCGCAACGAGCGCAACCCUUAUUAUCAGUUGCCAGCAUUAAGUUGGGCACUCUGGUGAGACUGCCGGUGACAAACCGGAGGAAGGUGGGGAUGACGUCAAAUCAUCAUGCCCCUUAUGACCUGGGCUACACACGUGCUACAAUGGGCAGAACAAAG